GUGGGGAAUCUUCCACAAUGGACGAAAGUCUGAUGGAGCAACGCCGCGUGAGUGAAGAAGGGUUUCGGCUCGUAAAGCUCUGUUGUCGGGGACGAAUGUGCAGUAUUUGACUAAAGUACUGCAAUGACGGUACCUGACGAGGAAGCCACGGCUAACUACGUGCCAGCAGCCGCGGUAAUACGUAGGUGGCAAGCGUUGUCCGGAAUUAUUGGGCGUAAAGGGAGCGCAGGCGGGAAGGUAAGUCGGUCUUAAAAGUGCGGGGCUCAACCCAGUGAUGGGAUCGAAACUAUCUUUAUUGAGUGCAGGAGAGGAAAGUGGAAUUCCUAGUGUAGCGGUGAAAUGCGUAGAUAUUAGGAGGAACACCAGUGGCGAAGGCGACUUUCUGGACUGUAACUGACGCUGAGGCUCGAAAGCCAGGGGAGCGAACGGGAUUAGAAACCCCUGUAGUCC
This 450-nucleotide ribosomal RNA is filed under the name uncultured bacterium. RNAcentral's name for it is "partial 16S ribosomal RNA". It matches the Rfam family "Bacterial small subunit ribosomal RNA", at positions 354 to 796 of the family's 1533-position model. The record is from RNAcentral.